CCCAGACUCCUACGGGAGGCAGCAGUGGGGAAUAUUGCACAAUGGGGGAAACCCUGAUGCAGCAACGCCGCGUGAGUGAUGACGGCCUUCGGGUUGUAAAGCUCUGUCUUCAGGGACGAUAAUGACGGUACCUGAGGAGGAAGCCACGGCUAACUACGUGCCAGCAGCCGCGGUAAUACGUAGGGGGCGAGCGUUAUCCGGAUUUACUGGGUGUAAAGGGAGCGUAGACGGUUAAUCAAGUCUGAAGUGAAAGCCCGCGGCUCAACUGCGGAACGGCUUUGGAAACUGAGUAACUGGAGUGCUGGAGGGGCAGGCGGAAUUCCUGGUGUAGCGGUGAAAUGCGUAGAUAUCAGGAGGAACACCGGUGGCGAAGGCGGCCUGCUGGACAGUAACUGACGUUGAGGCUCGAAAGCGUGGGGAGCAAAC
RNAcentral lists this ribosomal RNA (426 nucleotides) under uncultured bacterium. RNAcentral describes it as "partial 16S ribosomal RNA". It matches the Rfam family "Bacterial small subunit ribosomal RNA", at positions 330 to 773 of the family's 1533-position model. The record is from RNAcentral.